This 253-nucleotide ribosomal RNA is filed under the name uncultured bacterium. RNAcentral's name for it is "partial 16S ribosomal RNA". It matches the Rfam family "Bacterial small subunit ribosomal RNA", at positions 524 to 776 of the family's 1533-position model. The record is from RNAcentral.
UACGUAGGGUGCGAGCGUUGUCCGGAUUUAUUGGGCGUAAAGAGCUCGUAGGCGGCUUGUUGCGUCGACUGUGAAAACCCGCGGCUUAACUGCGGGCUUGCAGUUGAUACGGGCAGGCUAGAGUUCGGUAGGGGAGACUGGAAUUCCUGGUGUAGCGGUGAAAUGCGCAGAUAUCAGGAGGAACACCGGUGGCGAAGGCGGGUCUCUGGGCCGAUACUGACGCUGAGGAGCGAAAGCGUGGGGAGCGAACAGG